RNAcentral lists this long non-coding RNA (156 nucleotides) under Octodon degus (degu). RNAcentral describes it as "Pregnancy induced noncoding RNA (ENSODEG00000022683.1)". It matches the Rfam family "Pregnancy induced noncoding RNA". The record is from RNAcentral. Lineage: Eukaryota; Metazoa; Chordata; Mammalia; Rodentia; Octodontidae.
CUUCCCUGAACAGGAAAGAGACCAGGUAAAGUAGCAUAUAACAUCCUUAUUCCCAUGCAGCUGUCUGAGACUUCCUUUUUUUUUCCUUUGGUCAAAUCUGAUUUGUAUUUCUUCUCAGUUAAUGCCCCUAGAGUUCCCCAGGCUGCUUUCUGCCUG